Molecule: long non-coding RNA, 1112 nt
Filed under: Zea mays
Lineage: Eukaryota; Viridiplantae; Streptophyta; Magnoliopsida; Poales; Poaceae
Description: long non-coding RNA (ZMAY_LNC003509)
Source: RNAcentral
GCCGCCUUCUUUGACUGUAUGCCAUACAAACUGAAUGAAUCCGGACGUAGCAAAUGUAAUCCAGGCCAGCACUUUAGGUGGCCAUACCCUUUAAAAAAAGGGUGGCCAUUAUUUCCAUAUGAAACUUGCUCUAUAGUCUACAACUCAUUUUAAGGAAUUAAGUCUCUUUUUUUAAAAUGACUAAAUAUAUACAAAGAAGUACUAAUAUUUAUAGCGUAUAUUAGGUAUCACUAGAUUGAUCAUGGAAUAUACUUCCAUAAUAAAAUUGCUCAGCAAUGAAAAUAUUGAUACUAUUUUCUAUAUAUCUAGUCAGAUUUUUUUAAACAAAAGAAUUGCCUUCUUGGGAAGCAAAGAUGUGCAAUUGUUUUGGGAUGGAGGGAGGGAGUAUAAGAAACCAAGAAAUCAUAUUAAGGCCCUGUUUGGGAACACAGUUUUUUCAAAAUGCAGUUUUUCAAAUACUAAAGUAUACUUUAGUCAUGACAUUACUACAGUUUAUAAUGCUUCAGUUUUCGAAUACAACAGUAUCCAAUACAUCAAGAUGUUUGGAAAAAACUUUGGUUGAGACCAAUCAGCCAGAGCGGGACCCAGCUGGCGCUCUCUUUACAGAAAAAAAACUUUGGCUGAGACCAAAGUUUCCAAAACUGCAAAACAAGUGCAGUAUUUACAAUACUACAUUUUAGUAUACAGAGAUUUCAGAUGAGUUGCCAAACACCUCAAAGUAUAUAAUACCACAGUAUUGCUCAAUACUACAGUAUUGCUUCAAUACUGCAGAAAAACUUUGUUCCCAAACACCCCCUAAGUAGAUGUAAUAGACAUCAAUCUAACAGGCAGGAAUGGUAGAAUAAACAAUGUCAGGGCUCACCUUUCUAGAUGAAAACCUAUGAGAAUCAUUAAAUCAUGAGUGAACAGAUUGCAAGCGGGAGAUGCUCUAUGAUUUUUUUUUGGAUGAAACCUUGCUUCAUCAGACAAAGGCCCCGAUUUUUUUAUCCCCAGAUUUUGUGUAUAGAAGUGAAGAAAAUAAAUGGAAACAAAUUACUGAAAGAAACUCAAGUUUUGAUGCUGCAAGUUGUAACAAAGUGGUACAGAUAGAUACGGAGAUAACCUUUCAAAAA